Molecule: long non-coding RNA, 830 nt
Filed under: Arabidopsis lyrata
Lineage: Eukaryota; Viridiplantae; Streptophyta; Magnoliopsida; Brassicales; Brassicaceae
Description: long non-coding RNA (ALYR_LNC002348)
Source: RNAcentral
UUGAGCUAUCUCCAAUGGUUAAGAACCAAUUUGGAUCUUAACAAUUGUUUAUAUUAAAAUUCUCUUAUUUCUAAGCUAAAAACAAAUGAAGAAUAUCUUUAAAAAAAAGUCCUCCAAUGGUUAAGAACCUAUUAAGUUCAAAAAAAAAAUUCAAAUUUUGUAUUUGGAUGUCUUUCACUACAAGAAACCAUACAUACAAGCAUUUUUAUACAUUCAUAGAAAGGAGUAGAAGAUGUACAAGCAUUCAUUCAUGUAAUCUUUCAGAGACUUCUUCCUCUCGAGAAUAGCAGUACUGAAAUCUUUCUUCGAUUUCCUAUAAAAAAAAACAAACAAGAUUAAGAUUCAACUUGAGAAUAGAAAAUCAACCAAAAAUCUAAUCCCCAAAAUCGAAGAACCCAGCCUUUAGAAAGAUCCAACAUUUCCAGAUCGGAGAACGAAUUAAAAAAAAAAAAAAACACAAAAUCAACCUAAUCCCUAAUCCCCAAAAUCGAAAAAAAAAAACCAGACUUUAGAGAGACCGAAACAUCCCGAUCGGAAAACCAAAAGCAGAAAUCUGGGUACUUACCAGUUUGAAGAGUCACCGAUAUCUCCACUGGAAUUGAAGAGAAGAACGCAUCUCCUCAGAUUUGUUGCCAAAGGCUGAGAGAGAGAGAUGAAUGAAAAAAUGUCGGAAAAAAAUACACGAAGCAACCGAUUUUUUUUUGUUUUGUUUUUUCUUCCCCCCUCAUAUCGCAACACGUGUGUGUUUCUUAACAUAAGAAAAACAUCUUAGUUAAGAUAUAUAUCUUAGUAGGUUUGAUCAAUUAUAAUAGAUAUUAAGAUUUGGCUAA